RNAcentral lists this ribosomal RNA (511 nucleotides) under uncultured bacterium. RNAcentral's name for it is "partial 16S ribosomal RNA". It matches the Rfam family "Bacterial small subunit ribosomal RNA", at positions 28 to 523 of the family's 1533-position model. The record is from RNAcentral.
GACGAACGCUGACGGCGUGUCUAAUACAUGCAAGUAGAACGCUGAAGGAGGAGCUUACUUCUCUGGAUGAGUUGCGAACGGGUGAGUAACGCGUAGGUAACCUGCCUGGUAGCGGGGGAUAACUAUUGGAAACGAUAGCUAAUACCGCAUAAGAGUAGAUGUUGCAUGACAUUUACUUAAAAGGUGCAAUUGCACCACUACCAGAUGGACCUGCGUUGUAUUAGCUAGUUGGUGGGGUAACGGCUUACCAAGGCGACGAUACAAAGCCGACCUGAGAGGGUGAUCGGCCACACUGGGACUGAGACACGGCCCAGACUCCUACGGGAGGCAGCAGUAGGGAAUCUUCGGCAAUGGACGGAAGUCUGACCGAGCAACGCCGCGUGAGUGAAGAAGGUUUUCGGAUCGUAAAGCUCUGUUGUAAGAGAAGAACGAGUGUGAGAGUGGAAAGUUCACACUGUGACGGUAUCUUACCAGAAAGGGACGGCUAACUACGUGCCAGCAGCCGCCGCGG